This 165-nucleotide ribosomal RNA is filed under the name Melica bulbosa. RNAcentral describes it as "5.8S ribosomal RNA". It matches the Rfam family "5.8S ribosomal RNA". From Rfam's summary of the family: 5.8S ribosomal RNA (5.8S rRNA) is a component of the large subunit of the eukaryotic ribosome. It is transcribed by RNA polymerase I as part of the 45S precursor that also contains 18S and 28S rRNA. Lineage: Eukaryota; Viridiplantae; Streptophyta; Magnoliopsida; Poales; Poaceae. The record is from RNAcentral.
CACACGACUCUCGGCAACGGAUAUCUCGGCUCUCGCAUCGAUGAAGAACGUAGCGAAAUGCGAUACCUGGUGUGAAUUGCAGAAUCCCGCGAACCAUCGAGUCUUUGAACGCAAGUUGCGCCCGAGGCCACCCGGCCGAGGGCACGCCUGCCUGGGCGUCACGCU